AACAGAAAUAUACCGCCCCGUGCGAAAGCAUAGGGAAGAGGCCUGUAUACAGGCUUCUUCGGACGCUUCUGUAUAGAAGAAGCGUUUGGUAAGGGUGGAAGGGUGGUGUAAGGGACCACCGCCUCCGCGGUAACGAGGAGGGCACAUGUAAACCCCAUCCGAAGCAAGACCAAACAGGGAACCAUAGAUUUGCCCGGUCUGUUCCCAGGUAGGUCGCUUGAGGCUGAUGGCAACGUCAGUCCUAGAUAGAUGAUCAUUCGUGCCGCUGUAAAAAUAGCGGCACCGACAUAACCCGGCUUAUCGCUGCGGUUGCCGA
RNAcentral lists this RNase P RNA (316 nucleotides) under Lachnospiraceae bacterium. Its description in RNAcentral is "partial RNase P RNA component class A". It matches the Rfam family "Bacterial RNase P class A", at positions 113 to 367 of the family's 367-position model. From Rfam's summary of the family: Ribonuclease P (RNase P) is a ubiquitous endoribonuclease, found in archaea, bacteria and eukarya as well as chloroplasts and mitochondria. Its best characterised activity is the generation of mature 5'-ends of tRNAs by cleaving the 5'-leader elements of precursor-tRNAs. Cellular RNase Ps are ribonucleoproteins. Lineage: Bacteria; Bacillati; Bacillota; Clostridia; Lachnospirales; Lachnospiraceae. The record is from RNAcentral.